AAGUCGUAACAAGGUUUCCGUAGGUGAACCUGCGGAAGGAUCAUUAAUGAAUCAAUAAAGCGGGAUCAAACCUUAAUUUUUUUUAAGGUGAAGAUUUCGCGAAUCAUAUUUAAAACCCCACUCUUUUAUACAAAAAUGUUAUAUAUCAUAUAUAAUAAUAAAAAAAAGAUCACUUUCAACAACGGAUCUCUUGGCUCUC
Molecule: unclassified non-coding RNA, 199 nt
Filed under: fungal sp.
Lineage: Eukaryota; Fungi
Also listed under: 1 other name
Description: partial internal transcribed spacer region
Rfam family: Eukaryotic small subunit ribosomal RNA (bases 1-46)
Source: RNAcentral